GGCGUGAUCGUAUAGUGGUUAGUAGAUUGCGUUGUGGUCGCAGUAACCCAGGUUCGAUUCCUGGUCACGGCA
Non-coding RNA from Nematostella vectensis (starlet sea anemone), 72 nucleotides. Lineage: Eukaryota; Metazoa; Cnidaria; Anthozoa; Actiniaria; Edwardsiidae. The record is from Rfam.